GUCUAUGGCCACACCACCCAGAAGAUGUCCAAUCUCUUCUGAUAUUGGAAGCUAAGCAGGGUCGGGUCUGGUUGGUACUUGGACAGGAGAAUGUGGUGAUACAUACA
This 107-nucleotide ribosomal RNA is filed under the name Carlito syrichta (Philippine tarsier). Lineage: Eukaryota; Metazoa; Chordata; Mammalia; Primates; Tarsiidae. The record is from RNAcentral.